CAGCCGCCGCGGUAAUACCGGCGGCCCGAGUGGCGGUCACUAUUAUUUGGCUUAAAGCGUCCGUAGCCGGGUUGGGAAGUCCUCCGGGAAAUCUGGCCGCUUAACGGUCAGAAUGCCGGAGGAUACUCCCAGCCUAGGGGGCGGGAGAGGCCGAGGGUAUUCCCGGAGUAGGGGUGAAAUCCUAUAAUCCCGGGAGGACCACCUGUGGCGAAGGCGCUCGGCUGGAACGCGUCCGACGGUGAGGGACGAAGGCCAGGGGAGCAAACCGGAUUAGAUACCCGGGUAGUCCUGGCUGUAAACGAUGCGGACUUUGUGUCGGACAAGCUAUGAGCUUGUCCGGUGCCGGAGGGAAACCGUUAAGUCCGCCGCCUGGGGAGUACGGCCGCAAGGCUGAAACUUAAAGGAAUUGGCGGG
This 414-nucleotide ribosomal RNA is filed under the name uncultured microorganism. RNAcentral's name for it is "bacterial SSU rRNA". It matches the Rfam family "Archaeal small subunit ribosomal RNA", at positions 459 to 872 of the family's 1478-position model. The record is from RNAcentral.